UGGAUGUACGGAUAUUGGGCGUAAGAGCUCGUAGGCGGUUUGUCGCGUCUGCUGUGAAAGACCGGGGCUCAACUCCGGUUCUGCAGUGGGUACGGGCAGACUAGAGUGAUGUAGGGGAGACUGGAAUUCCUGGUGUAGCGGUGAAAUGCGCAGAUAUCAGGAGGAACACCGAUGGCGAAGGCAGGUCUCUGGGCAUUAACUGACGCUGAGGAGCGAAAGCAUGGGGAGCGAACAGGAUUAGAUACCCUGGUAGUCCAUGCCGUAAACGUUGGGCACUAGGUGUGGGGGACAUUCCACGUUUUCCGCGCCGUAGCUAACGCAUUAAGUGCCCCGCCUGGGGAGUACGGCCGCAAGGCUAAAACUCAAAGGAAUUGACGGGGGCCCGCACAAGCGGCGGAGCAUGCGGAUUAAUUCGAUGCAACGCGAAGAACCUUACCAAGGCUUGACAUGAACCGGUAACGCCUGGAGACAGGUGCCCCGCUUGCGGUCGGUUUACAGGUGGUGCAUGGUUGUCGUCAGCUCGUGUCGUGAGAUGUCGGGUUAAGUCCCGCAACGAGCGCAACCCUCGUUCCAUGUUGCCAGCACGUAGUGGUGGGGACUCAUGGGAGACUGCCGGGGUCAACUCGGAGGAAGGUGGGGACCACGUCAAAUCAUCAUGCCCCUUAUGUCUUGGGCUUCACGCAUGCUUCAAUAGGCCGGUACAAAAGGCUGCGAUACAGUGACGUGGAGCUAAUACCAAAAAAGCCGGCCC
RNAcentral lists this ribosomal RNA (751 nucleotides) under uncultured bacterium. Its description in RNAcentral is "bacterial SSU rRNA". It matches the Rfam family "Bacterial small subunit ribosomal RNA", at positions 538 to 1288 of the family's 1533-position model. The record is from RNAcentral.